CGCAAGGUUAAAACUCAAAUGAAUUGACGGGGGCCCGCACAAGCGGUGGAGCAUGUGGUUUAAUUCGAUGCAACGCGAAGAACCUUACCUGGUCUUGACAUCCACAGAACUUUCCAGAGAUGGAUUGGUGCCUUCGGGAACUGUGAGACAGGUGCUGCAUGGCUGUCGUCAGCUCGUGUUGUGAAAUGUUGGGUUAAGUCCCGCAACGAGCGCAACCCUUAUCCUUUGUUGCCAGCGGUUCGGCCGGGAACUCAAAGGAGACUGCCAGUGAUAAACUGGAGGAAGGUGGGGAUGACGUCAAGUCAUCAUGGCCCUUACGACCAGGGCUACACACGUGCUACAAUGGCAUAUACAAAGAGAAGCGACCUCGCGAGAGCAAGCGGACCUCAUAAAGUAUGUCGUAGUCCGGAUUGGAGUCUGCAACUCGACUCCAUGAAGUCGGAAUCGCUAGUAAUCGUAGAUCAGAA
RNAcentral lists this ribosomal RNA (467 nucleotides) under Klebsiella pneumoniae. RNAcentral's name for it is "bacterial SSU rRNA". It matches the Rfam family "Bacterial small subunit ribosomal RNA", at positions 887 to 1354 of the family's 1533-position model. Lineage: Bacteria; Pseudomonadati; Pseudomonadota; Gammaproteobacteria; Enterobacterales; Enterobacteriaceae. The record is from RNAcentral.